RNAcentral lists this ribosomal RNA (716 nucleotides) under Staphylococcus pseudintermedius. RNAcentral's name for it is "partial 23S ribosomal RNA". It matches the Rfam family "Bacterial large subunit ribosomal RNA", at positions 473 to 1191 of the family's 2925-position model. Lineage: Bacteria; Bacillati; Bacillota; Bacilli; Caryophanales; Staphylococcaceae. The record is from RNAcentral.
CUCUCUAGUGACCGAUAGUGAACCAGUACCGUGAGGGAAAGGUGAAAAGUACCCCGGAAGGGGAGUGAAAGAGAACUUGAAACCGUGUGCUUACAAGUAGUCAGAGCCCGUUAAUGGGUGAUGGCGUGCCUUUUGUAGAAUGAACCGGCGAGUUACGAUCUGAUGCAAGGUUAAGCAGAAAAUGUGGAGCCGUAGCGAAAGCGAGUCUGAAUAGGGCGAAUGAGUAUUUGGUCGUAGACCCGAAACCAGGUGAUCUACCCUUGGUCAGGUUGAAGUUCAGGUAACACUGAAUGGAGGACCGAACCGACUUACGUUGAAAAGUGAGCGGAUGAACUGAGGGUAGCGGAGAAAUUCCAAUCGAACUUGGAGAUAGCUGGUUCUCUCCGAAAUAGCUUUAGGGCUAGCCUCAAGUGAUGAUUAUUGGAGGUAGAGCACUGUUUGGACGAGGGGCCCCUCUCGGGUUACCGAAUUCAGACAAACUCCGAAUGCCAAAUAAUUUAACUUGGGAGUCAGAAUGUGGGUGAUAAGGUCCAUAUUCGAAAGGGAAACAGCCCAGACCACCAGCUAAGGUCCCAAAAUAUAUGUUAAGUGGAAAAGGAUGUGGCGUUGCCCAGACAACUAGGAUGUUGGCUUAGAAGCAGCCAUCAUUUAAAGAGUGCGUAAUAGCUCACUAGUCGAGUGACACUGCGCCGAAAAUGUACCGGGGCUAAACAUAU